Long non-coding RNA from Lotus japonicus, 369 nucleotides. RefSeq lists it as uncharacterized. The transcript is spliced from 3 exons. The record is from RefSeq and is a predicted model, not a curated record. NCBI's taxonomy places the organism in Eukaryota, Viridiplantae, Streptophyta, Magnoliopsida, Fabales, Fabaceae.
CGAUUUCCCUCUCUUCCUCUCCCUCUCGUUCUCAAUGAUCUCCCUCUUGCUUCGUCGUUCACAGUAGCUGCUCGUUGUCAGAUACCGUAGCUGUUCGAUUUCACAGUAGCUGUUCGCUGUCGUUCACAGUAGUUGUUCGAUUUCCGUCUUCUCCUCCGCCGUCUCCGUACUCUUUCACCGUUCUCACUGCAAGUACCAUCCACAGAUGUGAUUGAUAGACUAAAUGCAUUGAGAGGUAGAGGCAUGGCUUCCUUGUAUUCAUGGUCUUGUAAGAGAAGCUACAAGAGUGGAUUUGUGUGGCAUGAUCUUUCUGAAGAUGAUUUAAUUUUACCAGCCCAUGGAAAUGAGUAUGUCCUCAAAGGCUCUGAG